UACAUAACCGCAAUCACCGAUUGUAAUGUUAUAGGUAAUCGGUGAUUGCGGUUGUGUGGA
Molecule: non-coding RNA, 60 nt
Filed under: Blattella germanica (German cockroach)
Lineage: Eukaryota; Metazoa; Arthropoda; Insecta; Blattodea; Blattellidae
Source: RNAcentral